Molecule: signal recognition particle RNA, 284 nt
Filed under: Vombatus ursinus (common wombat)
Lineage: Eukaryota; Metazoa; Chordata; Mammalia; Diprotodontia; Vombatidae
Description: Metazoan signal recognition particle RNA (ENSVURG00010019629.1)
Rfam family: Metazoan signal recognition particle RNA
About the family: The signal recognition particle (SRP) is a universally conserved ribonucleoprotein.
Source: Rfam by way of RNAcentral
GCUGGGCAUGGUGAUGCACACCUAUGGUCCCAGCUACCAGGGAGAUUGAGGUUGUUGGACCUUUUGAGCUCAGGAGUUCUGAGCUGCAAUGGAAUAACUCAACUGAUUGCUCUAAAUUUGGCAUCAAUAUGGUGGGCAUGAGAUCACUAGGUUGGCUAAGGAGGGGAGAAAUGUUUCAGGUCAAAAUGAAGAAGGUCAAAGUUCCUAUGCCAAUCAAAGGUGGGAUCAAUCCAAUGAGUAGCCCCUGCACUUCCAACUUAGGUGAGACAGGGAGACAGUUUCAA